UAGUGUGAAAGUACACGAGCGGCGGACGGCUGAGUAACGCGUAGGAACGUACCCAAGUGAGGGAUAAGCACCGGAAACGGUGUCUAAUACCGCAUGUGAUCUUCGGAUUAAAGCUUUAUGCGCUUGGGAGCGACCUGCGUAAGAUUAGUUUGUUGGUGAGGUAAUGGCUCACCAAGACUACGGUCUUUAGCUGGUCUGAGAGGAUGAUCAGCCAGACUGGGACUGAGACACGGCCCAGACUCCUACGGGAGGCAGCAGUAGGGAAUUUCCACAAUGGACGAAAGUCUGAUGGAGCAACGCCGCGUGCAGGAUGAAGGCCUUCGGGUUGUAAACUGCUUUUAUCUGUGACGAUUAUGACGGUAGCAGAUGAAUAAGGAUCGGCUAACUCCGUG
This 392-nucleotide ribosomal RNA is filed under the name uncultured bacterium. RNAcentral describes it as "bacterial SSU rRNA". It matches the Rfam family "Bacterial small subunit ribosomal RNA", at positions 72 to 507 of the family's 1533-position model. The record is from RNAcentral.